Molecule: microRNA precursor, 201 nt
Filed under: Oryza brachyantha (malo sina)
Lineage: Eukaryota; Viridiplantae; Streptophyta; Magnoliopsida; Poales; Poaceae
Description: MIR812 microRNA precursor family
Rfam family: MIR812 microRNA precursor family
Source: Rfam by way of RNAcentral
AAUAAACCAAUUUUUCACUUUUUACCUUCAACUUUUGACUCUUCGUCUUAUUAAAAAAUUUUUGCGAUUGAUAUUUUUGUUUUUAUUAGAUGAUAAAUCAUUAAUAGUAUUUUACGUGUGAUUAAAUUUUUUCUAAUUUCUUGAAAAUUUUUCAAAUAAGACGGAUGGUCAAGGACAUGAAAACCGAAGAAUUCGUUUUUU